Molecule: unclassified non-coding RNA, 338 nt
Filed under: soil metagenome
Description: partial contains 5.8S ribosomal RNA, internal transcribed spacer 2, and large subunit ribosomal RNA
Rfam family: 5.8S ribosomal RNA (bases 1-120)
Source: RNAcentral
GAUGAAGAACGCAGCGAAAUGCGAAAAGUAAUGUGAAUUGCAGAAUUCAGUGAAUCAUCGAAUCUUUGAACGCACAUUGCGCCCUUUGGUAUUCCUUAGGGCAUGCCUGUUCGAGCGUCAUUUGAAACCUCAAGCUCAGCUUGGUGUUGGGUGUCUGUCCCCGCCUCACCGCGGGGACUCGCCUCAAAAUCAUUGGCGGCCGGUACGUUGGCUUCGAGCGCAGCAGAAACGCGAACUCGAGGCCCGGCGGAUCGGCGACCAGAAGUCACUUCUUCACAGUUUGACCUCGGAUCAGGUAGGGAUACCCGCUGAACUUAAGCAUAUCAAUAAGCGGAGGA